AGGUGUCAAGCGAUCUGAAGAGAAAGUAUUCUGGGUGGACGUGAAGCACAACCCUAAACAAAAAGGAGAUUGGGAGUGUGGAUUUUUUGUGAUGCUAUAUAUGAAGCACAUUAUAGAAAGUUAUGACACUUCAAUGAGGAACCCUAAGGAGAUGUUUAAGUCGGGGAUGAACUAUGGUGCGACAGAAAUUGAUGAAAUCAAAAGGGAGUGGAUGGAUUAUAU
This is a long non-coding RNA of Papaver somniferum (opium poppy), 222 nucleotides long. RefSeq lists it as uncharacterized. The transcript has 3 exons. The record is from RefSeq and is a predicted model, not a curated record. Lineage: Eukaryota; Viridiplantae; Streptophyta; Magnoliopsida; Ranunculales; Papaveraceae.